UGAGAUCGGCAACCAUUGUUCGCAGCUC
RNAcentral lists this small RNA (28 nucleotides) under Bombyx mori (domestic silkworm). RNAcentral's name for it is "ovarian small RNA-32173". Lineage: Eukaryota; Metazoa; Arthropoda; Insecta; Lepidoptera; Bombycidae. The record is from RNAcentral.